GAUGAAGAACGCAGCGAAAUGCGAUAAGUAGUGUGAAUUGCAGAAUUCAGUGAAUCAUCGAAUCUUUGAACGCACAUUGCGCCCCUUGGUAUUCCAUGGGGCAUGCCUGUUCGAGCGUCAUUUGUACCUUCAAGCUCUGCUUGGUGUUGGGCCCCGCCGCCCCGGCGGGCCCUAAAGUCAGUGGCGGUGCCGUCCGGCUCCGAGCGUAGUAAUUUUUCUCGCUUUGGAGGCCCGGGCGCGUGCUUGCCAUCAACCCCCAAUUUUUUUCAGGUUGACCUCGGAUCAGGUAGGGAUACCCGCUGAACUUAAGCAUAUCAAUAAGCGGAGGA
This 329-nucleotide unclassified non-coding RNA is filed under the name soil metagenome. RNAcentral's name for it is "partial contains 5.8S ribosomal RNA, internal transcribed spacer 2, and large subunit ribosomal RNA". The stretch from base 1 to 120 matches the Rfam family "5.8S ribosomal RNA", at positions 35 to 154 of the family's 154-position model. The record is from RNAcentral.